AAAACCUUAAGUUAAAAAACUAUUAACCUUCAAAGUUAAAAUUACAAAUUAUAAAAGUAGGUUUUA
Molecule: transfer RNA, 66 nt
Filed under: Corythucha marmorata
Lineage: Eukaryota; Metazoa; Arthropoda; Insecta; Hemiptera; Tingidae
Description: tRNA-Trp
Source: RNAcentral